CCUACGGGCGGCAGCAGUGGGGAAUAUUGCACAAUGGGGGAAACCCUGAUGCAGCGACGCCGCGUGAGUGAAGAAGUAUUUCGGUAUGUAAAGCUCUAUCAGCAGGGAAGAAAUAGCGACCUUUGGGUCGCCAGACGGUACCUGACUAAGAAGCCCCGGCUAACUACGUGCCAGCAGCCGCGGGAAUACGUAGGGGGCAAGCGUUAUCCGGAUUUACUGGGUGUAAAGGGAGCGUAGACGGCAGCACAUGUCUGAAGUGAAAUGCCGGGGCUUAACCCCGGAACUGCUUUGGAAACUGGGCAGCUAGAGUGCAGGAGAGGUAAGUGGAAUUCCUGGUGUAGCGGUGAAAUGCGUAGAUAUUAGGAGGAACACCAGUGGCGAAGGCGGCUUACUGGACUGUAACUGACGUUGAGGCUCGAAAGCGUGGGGAGCAAACAGGAUUAGAUACCCCAGUAGUC
Molecule: ribosomal RNA, 458 nt
Filed under: uncultured bacterium
Lineage: Bacteria
Description: partial 16S ribosomal RNA
Rfam family: Bacterial small subunit ribosomal RNA
Source: RNAcentral